This 241-nucleotide ribosomal RNA is filed under the name Escherichia coli. RNAcentral describes it as "partial 16S ribosomal RNA". Lineage: Bacteria; Pseudomonadati; Pseudomonadota; Gammaproteobacteria; Enterobacterales; Enterobacteriaceae. The record is from RNAcentral.
AAAUUGAAGAGUUUGAUCAUGGCUCAGAUUGAACGCUGGCGGYAGGCCUAACACAUGCAAGUCGAACGGUAACAGAAAGCAGCUUGCUGCUUUGCUGACGAGUGGCGGACGGGUGAGUAAUGUCUGGGAAACUGCCUGAUGGAGGGGGAUAACUACUGGAAACGGUAGCUAAUACCGCAUAACGUCGCAAGACCAAAGAGGGGGACCUUCGGGCCUCUUGCCAUCGGAUGUGCCCAGAUGG